Molecule: ribosomal RNA, 459 nt
Filed under: uncultured bacterium
Lineage: Bacteria
Description: partial 16S ribosomal RNA
Rfam family: Bacterial small subunit ribosomal RNA
Source: RNAcentral
CCUACGGGUGGCAGCAGUGAGGAAUAUUGGUCAAUGGCCGAGAGGCUGAACCAGCCAAGUCGCGUGAGGGAAGACGGCCCUACGGGUUGUAAACCUCUUUUGUCGGGGAGCAAAGCGAGUCACGUGUGACUCUUUGAGAGUACCCGAAGAAAAAGCAUCGGCUAACUCCGUGUCAGCAGCCGCGGUAAUACGGAGGAUGCGAGCGUUAUCCGGAUUUUUUGGGUUUAAAGGGUGCGCAGGCGGAGGUGCAAGUCAGCGGUCAAAUUGCGGGGCUCAACCCCGUACUGCCGUUGAAACUGCAUCCCUUGAGUGCGCGAGAAGUAUGCGGAAUGCGUGGUGUAGCGCUGAAAUGCAUAGAUAUUGCGCAGAACUCCGAUUGCGAAGGCAGCAUACCGGCGGCGAUCUGACGCUGAGGCACGAAAGCGUGGGUAUCGAACAGGAUUAGAUACCCGUGUAGUC